GGAAUCUUGGACAAUGGGGGCAACCCUGAUCCAGCGACGCCGCGUGGGUGAUGAAGGCCUUCGGGUUGUAAAGCCCUUUCGACGGGGACGAUGAUGACGGUACCCGGCGAAGAAGCACCGGCUAACUCCGCGCCAGCAGCCGCGGUAAGCCGGAGGGUGCUAGCGUUGUUCGGAAUCACUGGGCGUAAAGGGCGCGUAGGCGGCCUUUGGUGUCGGAUGUGAAAGCCCGGGGCUCAACCCCGGAGGUGCGGCCGAUACUCCCUGGCUGGAGGCCGGAAGAGGAGGGUGGAAUACCCAGUGUAGAGGUGAAAUUCGUAGAUAUUGGGUGGAACACCGGUGGCGAAAGCGGCUCUCCGGUCCGGACCUGACGCUGAGGCGCGAAAGCGUGGGGAGCAAAC
Molecule: ribosomal RNA, 398 nt
Filed under: uncultured bacterium
Lineage: Bacteria
Description: bacterial SSU rRNA
Rfam family: Bacterial small subunit ribosomal RNA
Source: RNAcentral